RNAcentral lists this ribosomal RNA (2919 nucleotides) under Klebsiella pneumoniae. Its description in RNAcentral is "23S ribosomal RNA". It matches the Rfam family "Bacterial large subunit ribosomal RNA". The record is from RNAcentral. Lineage: Bacteria; Pseudomonadati; Pseudomonadota; Gammaproteobacteria; Enterobacterales; Enterobacteriaceae.
GGGUUGUGAGGUUAAGCGACUAAGCGUACACGGUGGAUGCCCUGGCAGUCAGAGGCGAUGAAGGACGUGCUAAUCUGCGAAAAGCGUCGGUAAGGUGAUAUGAACCGUUACAGCCGGCGAUGUCCGAAUGGGGAAACCCAGUGCAAUUCGUUGCACUAUCGUUAACUGAAUACAUAGGUUAACGAGGCGAACCGGGGGGAACUGAAACAUCUAAGUACCCCGAGGAAAAGAAAUCAACCGAGAUUCCCCCCAGUAGCGGCGAGCGAACGGGGAGCAGCCCAGAGUCUGAAUCAGCUUGUGUGUUAGUGGAACGGUCUGGAAAGUCCGACGGUACAGGGUGAUAGUCCCGUACACCAAAAUGCACAGGCUGUGAACUCGAAGAGUAGGGCGGGACACGUGGUAUCCUGUCUGAAUAUGGGGGGACCAUCCUCCAAGGCUAAAUACUCCUGACUGACCGAUAGUGAACCAGUACCGUGAGGGAAAGGCGAAAAGAACCCCGGCGAGGGGAGUGAAAAGAACCUGAAACCGUGUACGUACAAGCAGUGGGAGCACCUUCGGGUGUGACUGCGUACCUUUGUAUAAUGGGUCAGCGACUUAUAUUCUGUAGCAAGGUUAACCGUAUAGGGGAGCCGCAGGGAAACCGAGUCUUAACUGGGCGUUAAGUUGCAGGGUAUAGACCCGAAACCCGGUGAUCUAGCCAUGGGCAGGUUGAAGGUUGGGUAACACUAACUGGAGGACCGAACCGACUAAUGUUGAAAAAUUAGCGGAUGACUUGUGGCUGGGGGUGAAAGGCCAAUCAAACCGGGAGAUAGCUGGUUCUCCCCGAAAGCUAUUUAGGUAGCGCCUUGUGAACUCAUCUUCGGGGGUAGAGCACUGUUUCGGCUAGGGGGUCAUCCCGACUUACCAACCCGAUGCAAACUACGAAUACCGAAGAAUGUUAUCACGGGAGACACACGGCGGGUGCUAACGUCCGUCGUGAAGAGGGAAACAACCCAGACCGCCAGCUAAGGUCCCAAAGUCAUGGUUAAGUGGGAAACGAUGUGGGAAGGCACAGACAGCCGGAUGUUGGCUUAGAAGCAGCCAUCAUUUAAAGAAAGCGUAAUAGCUCACUGGUCGAGUCGGCCUGCGCGGAAGAUGUAACGGGGCUAAACCAUGCACCGAAGCUGCGGCAGCGACACUAUGUGUUGUUGGGUAGGGGAGCGUUCUGUAAGCCUGCGAAGGUGUGCUGUGAGGCAUGCUGGAGGUAUCAGAAGUGCGAAUGCUGACAUAAGUAACGAUAAAGCGGGUGAAAAGCCCGCUCGCCGGAAGACCAAGGGUUCCUGUCCAACGUUAAUCGGGGCAGGGUGAGUCGACCCUAAGGCGAGGCCGAAAGGCGUAGUCGAUGGGAAACAGGUUAAUAUUCCUGUACUUGGUGUUACUGCGAAGGGGGACGGAGAAGGCUAUGUUAGCCGGGCGACGGUUGUCCCGGUUUAAGCAUGUAGGCUGGUUAUCCAGGCAAAUCCGGAUAAUCAAGGCUGAGGUGUGAUGACGAGGCACUACGGUGCUGAAGUAACAAAUGCCCUGCUUCCGUGAAAAGCCUCUAAGCAUCAGGUAACAUCAAAUCGUACCCCAAACCGACACAGGUGGUCAGGUAGAGAAUACCAAGGCGCUUGAGAGAACUCGGGUGAAGGAACUAGGCAAAAUGGUGCCGUAACUUCGGGAGAAGGCACGCUGGUGUGUAGGUGAAGUCCCUGCGGAUGGAGCUGAGACCAGUCGAAGAUACCAGCUGGCUGCAACUGUUUAUUAAAAACACAGCACUGUGCAAACACGAAAGUGGACGUAUACGGUGUGACGCCUGCCCGGUGCCGGAAGGUUAAUUGAUGGGGUUAUCCGUAAGGAGAAGCUCUUGAUCGAAGCCCCGGUAAACGGCGGCCGUAACUAUAACGGUCCUAAGGUAGCGAAAUUCCUUGUCGGGUAAGUUCCGACCUGCACGAAUGGCGUAAUGAUGGCCAGGCUGUCUCCACCCGAGACUCAGUGAAAUUGAACUCGCUGUGAAGAUGCAGUGUACCCGCGGCAAGACGGAAAGACCCCGUGAACCUUUACUAUAGCUUGACACUGAACAUUGAGCCUUGAUGUGUAGGAUAGGUGGGAGGCUUUGAAGCGUGGACGCCAGUCUGCGUGGAGCCAACCUUGAAAUACCACCCUUUAAUGUUUGAUGUUCUAACGUUGGCCCCUUACCGGGGUUGCGGACAGUGUCUGGUGGGUAGUUUGACUGGGGCGGUCUCCUCCCAAAGCGUAACGGAGGAGCACGAAGGUUAGCUAAUCCUGGUCGGACAUCAGGAGGUUAGUGCAAUGGCAUAAGCUAGCUUGACUGCGAGCGUGACGGCGCGAGCAGGUGCGAAAGCAGGUCAUAGUGAUCCGGUGGUUCUGAAUGGAAGGGCCAUCGCUCAACGGAUAAAAGGUACUCCGGGGAUAACAGGCUGAUACCGCCCAAGAGUUCAUAUCGACGGCGGUGUUUGGCACCUCGAUGUCGGCUCAUCACAUCCGGGGCUGAAGUAGGUCCCAAGGGUAUGGCUGUUCGCCAUUUAAAGUGGUACGCGAGCUGGGUUUAGAACGUCGUGAGACAGUUCGGUCCCUAUCUGCCGUGGGCGCUGGAGAAUUGAGGGGGGCUGCUCCUAGUACGAGAGGACCGGAGUGGACGCAUCACUGGUGUUCGGGUUGUCAUGCCAAUGGCACUGCCCGGUAGCUAAAUGCGGAAGAGAUAAGUGCUGAAAGCAUCUAAGCACGAAACUUGCCCCGAGAUGAGUUCUCCCUGAGACUUUAAGUCUCCUGAAGGAACGUUAAAGACGAUGACGUUGAUAGGCCGGGUGUGUAAGCGCAGCGAUGCGUUGAGCUAACCGGUACUAAUGAACCGUGAGGCUUAACCUUACAACGCCGAAG